GACGAACGCUGGCGGCGUGCUUAACACAUGCAAGUCGAACGGAAAGGCCCUGCUUUUGUGGGGUGCUCGAGUGGCGAACGGGUGAGUAACACGUGAGUAACCUGCCCUUGACUUUGGGAUAACUUCAGGAAACUGGGGCUAAUACCGGAUAGGAGCUCCUACUGCAUGGUGGGGGUUGGAAAGUUUCGGCGGUUGGGGAUGGACUCGCGGCUUAUCAGCUUGUUGGUGGGGUAGUGGCUUACCAAGGCUUUGACGGGUAGCCGGCCUGAGAGGGUGACCGGCCACAUUGGGACUGAGAUACGGCCCAGACUCCUACGGGAGGCAGCAGUGGGGAAUAUUGCACAAUGGGCGGAAGCCUGAUGCAGCAACGCCGCGUGCGGGAUGACGGCCUUCGGGUUGUAAACCGCUUUCGCCUGUGACGAAGCGUGAGUGACGGUAAUGGGUAAAGAAGCACCGGCCAACUACGUG
Molecule: ribosomal RNA, 468 nt
Filed under: uncultured bacterium
Lineage: Bacteria
Description: partial 16S ribosomal RNA
Rfam family: Bacterial small subunit ribosomal RNA
Source: RNAcentral